RNAcentral lists this ribosomal RNA (253 nucleotides) under uncultured bacterium. Its description in RNAcentral is "partial 16S ribosomal RNA". It matches the Rfam family "Bacterial small subunit ribosomal RNA", at positions 524 to 776 of the family's 1533-position model. The record is from RNAcentral.
GACGGAGGGUGCAAACGUUGUUCGGAUUCACUGGGCAUAAAGCGCACGUAGGCGGCUCGUUUAGUCAGUUGUGAAAUCCCCCGGCUCAACCGGGGAAUGGCAUCUGAUACUGGCGGGCUCGAGGUCGGUAGGGGUGAGCGGAACUCCAGGAGGAGCGGUGAAAUGCGUAGAUAUCUGGAGGAACACCGGUGGCGAAAGCGGCUCACUAGGCCGGCACUGACGCUAAGGUGCGAAAGCUAGGGUAGCAAACGGG